RNAcentral lists this transfer RNA (77 nucleotides) under Aureliella helgolandensis. Its description in RNAcentral is "Planctomycetes bacterium Q31a tRNA-Leu". It matches the Rfam family "tRNA". Rfam says of the family: Transfer RNA (tRNA) molecules are approximately 80 nucleotides in length. Their secondary structure includes four short double-helical elements and three loops (D, anti-codon, and T loops). Further hydrogen bonds mediate the characteristic L-shaped molecular structure. tRNAs have two regions of fundamental functional importance: the anti-codon, which is responsible for specific mRNA codon recognition, and the 3' end, to which the tRNAs corresponding amino acid is attached (by aminoacyl-tRNA synthetases). tRNAs cope with the degeneracy of the genetic code in two manners: having more than one tRNA (with a specific anti-codon) for a particular amino acid; and 'wobble' base-pairing, i.e. permitting non-standard base-pairing at the 3rd anti-codon position. The record is from RNAcentral. Lineage: Bacteria; Pseudomonadati; Planctomycetota; Planctomycetia; Pirellulales; Pirellulaceae.
GGUCGAGUACGCAAACAGGUAAAGCGAUCUGGUCGAGGGCCAGGUGAUUCUGCAGGUUCGAUUCCUGUCUCGACUAC